This is a long non-coding RNA of Gigantopelta aegis, 160 nucleotides long. RefSeq lists it as uncharacterized. Lineage: Eukaryota; Metazoa; Mollusca; Gastropoda; Neomphalida; Peltospiridae. The record is from RefSeq and is a predicted model, not a curated record. The transcript has 3 exons.
AAUCGGAAAUUUCAUUCUUUCCAUUGCCACGGCAACGCCUUUACCUGAACUGACGUGGAAACGAGAAUUAACACCAUUCGGUGGACGAAUUACGGUAUUUUCUAACAUCGCUCCGCUAAAGGUGAACGCAAUGUACGCACACACCCUGGAUGGAGUAAGG